RNAcentral lists this ribosomal RNA (479 nucleotides) under uncultured bacterium. Its description in RNAcentral is "partial 16S ribosomal RNA". It matches the Rfam family "Bacterial small subunit ribosomal RNA", at positions 28 to 523 of the family's 1533-position model. The record is from RNAcentral.
GACGAACGCUGGCGGCGUGCUUAACACAUGCAAGUCGAGCGAUGAAGCACCUUCGGGUGUGAAUUAGCGGCGAACGGGUGAGGAACACGUGAAGAAUCUGCCUUCAACUCUGGGAUAACUCCGGGAAACCGGGGCUAAUACCGGAUAUGAGCCUUGAUCGCAUGAUCGAGGCUGGAAAGUUUUUCGGUUGAAGAUGACUUCGCGGCCUAUCAGCUUGUUGGUGAGGUAAUGGCUCACCAAGGCGACGACGGGUAGCCGGCCUGAGAGGGCGACCGGCCACACUGGGACUGAGACACGGCCCAGACUCCUACGGGAGGCAGCAGUGGGGAAUAUUGGGCAAUGGAGGAAACUCUGACCCAGCGACGCCGCGUGAGGGAUGAAGGCCUUCGGGUUGUAAACCUCUUUCAGUAGGGAAGAAGCGAGAGUGACGGUACCUACAGAAGAAGCACCGGCUAACUAUGUGCCAGCAGCCGCAGUAA